CGGCGUGCCUAAUACAUGCAAGUCGAACGAACUCUGGUAUUGAUUGGUGCUUGCAUCAUGAUUUACAUUUGAGUGAGUGGCGAACUGGUGAGUAACACGUGGGAAACCUGCCCAGAAGCGGGGGAUAACACCUGGAAACAGAUGCUAAUACCGCAUAACAACUUGGACCGCAUGGUCCGAGUUUGAAAGAUGGCUUCGGCUAUCACUUUUGGAUGGUCCCGCGGCGUAUUAGCUAGAUGGUGGGGUAACGGCUCACCAUGGCAAUGAUACGUAGCCGACCUGAGAGGGUAAUCGGCCACAUUGGGACUGAGACACGGCCCAAACUCCUACGGGAGGCAGCAGUAGGGAAUCUUCCACAAUGGACGAAAGUCUGAUGGAGCAACGCCGCGUGAGUGAAGAAGGGUUUCGGCUCGUAAAACUCUGUUGUUAAAGAAGAACAUAUCUGAGAGUAACUGUUCAGGUAUUGACGGUAUUUAACCAGAAAGCCACGGCUAACUACGUGCCAGCAGCCGCGGUAAUACGUAGGUGGCAAGCGUUGUCCGGAUUUAUUGGGCGUAAAGCGAGCGCAGGCGGUUUUUUAAGUCUGAUGUGAAAGCCUUCGGCUCAACCGAAGAAGUGCAUCGGAAACUGGGAAACUUGAGUGCAGAAGAGGACAGUGGAACUCCAUGUGUAGCGGUGAAAUGCGUAGAUAUAUGGAAGAACACCAGUGGCGAAGGCGGCUGUCUGGUCUGUAACUGACGCUGAGGCUCGAAAGUAUGGGUAGCAAACAGGAUUAGAUACCCUGGUAGUCCAUACCGUAAACGAUGAAUGCUAAGUGUUGGAGGGUUUCCGCCCUUCAGUGCUGCAGCUAACGCAUUAAGCAUUCCGCCUGGGGAGUACGGCCGCAAGGCUGAAACUCAAAGGAAUUGACGGGGGCCCGCACAAGCGGUGGAGCAUGUGGUUUAAUUCGAAGCUACGCGAAGAACCUUACCAGGUCUUGACAUACUAUGCAAAUCUAAGAGAUUAGACGUUCCCUUCGGGGACAUGGAUACAGGUGGUGCAUGGUUGUCGUCAGCUCGUGUCGUGAGAUGUUGGGUUAAGUCCCGCAACGAGCGCAACCCUUAUUAUCAGUUGCCAGCAUUAAGUUGGGCACUCUGGUGAGACUGCCGGUGACAAACCGGAGGAAGGUGGGGAUGACGUCAAAUCAUCAUGCCCCUUAUGACCUGGGCUACACACGUGCUACAAUGGAUGGUACAACGAGUUGCGAACUCGCGAGAGUAAGCUAAUCUCUUAAAGCCAUUCUCAGUUCGGAUUGUAGGCUGCAACUCGCCUACAUGAAGUCGGAAUCGCUAGUAAUCGCGGAUCAGCAUGCCGCGGUGAAUACGUUCCCGGGCCUUGUACACACCGCCCGUCACACCAUGAGAGUUUGUAACACCCAAAGUCGGUGGGGUAACCUUUUAGGAACCAGCCGCCUAAGGUGGGACAGAUGAUUAGGG
RNAcentral lists this ribosomal RNA (1475 nucleotides) under Lactiplantibacillus plantarum. RNAcentral's name for it is "bacterial SSU rRNA". It matches the Rfam family "Bacterial small subunit ribosomal RNA". Lineage: Bacteria; Bacillati; Bacillota; Bacilli; Lactobacillales; Lactobacillaceae. The record is from RNAcentral.